RNAcentral lists this non-coding RNA (33 nucleotides) under Schistosoma margrebowiei. The record is from RNAcentral. Lineage: Eukaryota; Metazoa; Platyhelminthes; Trematoda; Strigeidida; Schistosomatidae.
CUGACGAGUCCCAAAUAGGACGAAACACGUGUC